CCUUUGCAAUACACGAAAGUGUGACAGGGUCAUCCCGAGUGCCGACCGCUGAGGUUGGCUUUUACCCAGUCUAGAAAGCUGGGGGAAUAAGGAGAGGGCAAGUCUGGUGUCAGCCGCCGCGGUAAUACCAGCUCUCCGAGUGGUGUGGACGUUUAUUGGGCCUAAAGCAUCCGUAGCUGGCUGAACAAGUCCCCUGUUAAACCCACCGAUUUAAUCGUUGGUCUGCGGGGGAUACUGCUCGGCUAGGGGACGAGAGAGGCAGACGGUAUUCCCGGGGUAGGGGUGAAAUCCUAUAAUCCCGAGAAGACCGCCAGUGGCGAAGGCUGUCUGCUAGAACGCGCCCGACGGUGAGGGAUGAAAGCUGGGGGAGCGAACCGG
This 378-nucleotide ribosomal RNA is filed under the name uncultured archaeon. RNAcentral describes it as "bacterial SSU rRNA". It matches the Rfam family "Archaeal small subunit ribosomal RNA", at positions 347 to 727 of the family's 1478-position model. The record is from RNAcentral.